This 497-nucleotide ribosomal RNA is filed under the name uncultured bacterium. RNAcentral describes it as "partial 16S ribosomal RNA". It matches the Rfam family "Bacterial small subunit ribosomal RNA", at positions 28 to 507 of the family's 1533-position model. The record is from RNAcentral.
GAUGAACGCUGGCGGCGUGCCUAACACAUGCAAGUCGAACGGUAACACGCUUAGCUUUUUCGUUGGUGGGGAGGGGGGGCCAGAGGGUGAAUAAAUCGAGCGUAACCUGCUCCCUCGUGGGGGAUAACGGAAGGAAAGUGAGGCUAAUACGGGAUAUGCUGUACCUGUCGCAUGAUGGGUCUGGGAAAGCUUUUGUGUCUGUAGGGGAUGGGCUCGUGGCGGAUUAGCUUGUUGGUGGGGUAACGGCCUACCAAGGCGACGAUGCGUAGCUGCCCUGAGAGGAGGGUCGGCCACACUGCAACUGAGACACGGUCCAGACUCCUCCGGGAGGCAGCAGUAGGGAAUAUUGUGGAAUGGGGGGAAGCCUGCUGAAGCAGCGCCGCGUGGGUGAGGAUGGACUUCGGCUUGUAAAGCACUUUUUUUGGGAGAGAAGAAGGGCGGGUUCAUUUGUGGGUGUGUUGACGGUACCUAAAGAAGAAGCGCCGGCUAACUACGUG